GGCCUGGUUUCCCACAAGCUUAAUGCGAAGAGGGAAACGAAAGCAAGGCCCAGAGUUGCUAAUCUGGAUUCUCCGACCACACCUGGUCUUUCAGAGCUCCUUUCUCCACCCCCGUGCUUGUCAUUUCAGCAUUCUGCCUUUCCCCUUGAGGAGGAAGAUCAACAAAGUCCCAGGGCUAGAAGUAUGAAGUAAAAAGGAAGGCUUAAAAAGAGUGUCUUCACAAGGGCCUUU
RNAcentral lists this long non-coding RNA (231 nucleotides) under Catagonus wagneri (Chacoan peccary). RNAcentral's name for it is "lncRNA (ENSCWAG00000012573.1)". The record is from RNAcentral. Lineage: Eukaryota; Metazoa; Chordata; Mammalia; Artiodactyla; Tayassuidae.